ACAUCAUAUCCCAUGUUUCAAACUAACAUCCAAAUUAUUUUGCCGUCAAUUGAUCCAUCAUUUUUUCUUCCGUUGCAACGUACGGACAUAAUUACUAGUGUACACUAAAAAAUCAGCGCUUAUGUACACAAGGGUAGCUUACCCGGACGGACAAAAUCAGCGCCUUGGGACGGUCCACAAAUACAUUCUUCUUUCUUUGUUAAAAAAAAAA
This 211-nucleotide long non-coding RNA is filed under the name Hordeum vulgare. RNAcentral's name for it is "long non-coding RNA (HVUL_LNC018676)". The record is from RNAcentral. Lineage: Eukaryota; Viridiplantae; Streptophyta; Magnoliopsida; Poales; Poaceae.